Long non-coding RNA from Macaca fascicularis (crab-eating macaque), 1652 nucleotides. The record is from Ensembl. Lineage: Eukaryota; Metazoa; Chordata; Mammalia; Primates; Cercopithecidae.
UCUGGGUGAGCCACCGCUGGGUUUUGUCGACUUUUGUCCCUGUUCUGUGGGUUUGAGCUGGACAAAGAGGUUUGGGGAAACGAAAUCCCGAACUUGUCAAUUUUUUAAGCUCCUAUAUCCUCAGCUCGUUUCAGCACAUUUUUUUUUUAAUUGAAACAAAAGAAGUUAUUUCUAGGGGCUGGGCACGGUGGCUCACGCCUGUAAUCCCAGCACUUUGGGUGGCCGAGUUGGACGGAUCAUUUGAGGUCAGGAGUUCGAGACCAGCCUGGUCAACAUGGUGAAACCCCGUCUCUACCAAAAAUGCAAAAAUUAGCCAGGCGUGGUGGCGGGCGCUUGUAAUCCCAGCUGCUUGGGAGGCUGAGGCAAGAGAAUCUCUUGAUCCCGGGAGGCAGAGGUUGCAGUGAGCCGAGAUUACGCCACUGCACUCCAGACUGGGCAGCAGAAUGGGACUCUGCCUCAAAAAAAAAAAAAAAAGUUACUUAUUCCUAGCAAUGGGCUGUAUAGCCUGGCCCGUCUCAUUGUAACAAAUUCCUAAGAACUGCGCAAAACUAGAUUAGAAUUUUGUCCUAUGCAAAGCUAAGCCGUCUCCCAGAGCAGAGCACAGUCACAACUGGUAGCUGGUGAGCUAAAACGGGUGUGCAGAUGUCCUGCAAAAUGUUAAUAUGUAUGUGUUGUCACCAUUUCAAAAGUGUUUCUCACAUUCAUUUCCUUAAUUUUAUGCCAGGUCCUAAGCUAGGAGCCUACAAUGCAGAGAGGAGACAAACAGAAACACCUCUUAUAAUUCAGACAGAAGCAAAUCAUUAUAAUUCAUUCAAAAAGCAUUCACGGAGCGCCUACUCUAUGCUUUGUGCUGGUAACUGAGGACACAGUGCUAAACCAGGCACAUACAGUCUCUGCCCUUGUGGUGCUUACAGUCUGUUGGAAGGAGACAGACUAAUUAAAUGAAUGUGUAAUCAUAUAACAGGAUAAGUUUUUUGAAGGCAAAGAACAGUGUUCCAUGAUUAAGAAGGGGUGGGGAGCAAGUAGUAGGAGAAAAAGAAACCUAGAUGAGAGUGUGAUAACCAGCCUCCUCCAUAAACCCCGAUGAUUCUUGGCUCCUAGUAUCCAUACCCUUCCGUAGUCACCUCCCACCAUGAAUAGGACUGACCUCUAUAACCCGGAAAUCUUGGAGCACGAGUUCUAAGAUAUUGCGGAAAUCUUGGAGCACGAGUUCCAAGAUAAAGUCAUAAAAGACAUUGGAACUUCCUCUUUGCUCUGUCUUGAUCACUCGUGAGGAAUCCGUGUUGUGAGGACACUCAAGCAGUCCUGUGGAGAGGCUCACAUGGGGAGUAACUGAACUGCCUGCCAACAACCAGCUCUAACUUGCCAGCCGUGUGUAUGAGCCAGGUGGCUCCAGCAGUCCUAGUCAAGCUUUCAAAUGACUGUGGCCUGGCCAAAAUCUUCAAUAUAAACUUAAGAGCAACCUUGAGCCAGAAACACCUGGCAACGUCACUUGAAUGCCUGCCUCACAGAAGUUGUGAAAUACUAAAUGAUACUGUUUUAAACUCCUAAGUCUUAGGAUAAUUGGUUAUGCAGCCUAGAUAACAUACAUAGAGGCUCAAGGAACAGAGGUUAGAUACCAGAGACUCAAAAAAAAAAACAAAAAACAAAAA